ACAGCCAAGAGGGAGGCCGGGCCAGGGGCUGGCGGCUUCCUCCGCGAGCUCUGCCAUUUCUGGCCUCAGGUCCUGAGUUGUUAUUGCAAGUCCAGGAAGAAUGAGGUUACUCAGGCAACUGGAGGGUGAGGAUGGAGAAGAGCUUUAUUGAGCAACAGAACAGCUCUCAGCAGAGAGGAGACCCAAAGUGGGUAGCUCCUACCUGCAGGAAGGUUUCUGAAGGGGGCCAAGAUGGCCCAAUAGGAACAGCUCCAGUCUGCAGCUCCCAGAAAGACCAACGCAGAAGGCAGGCUGAAGAUCUCUCUCUCUGCGGAAGCCAGCCACCGCUCUCCAAGGACUCUCGAGCAGCUCCAUCUACAGAUUCACAUGGAGAAGAAUUAAGGGUUCCUGCCAAUCACCAGCACCACUUUGCCAGCCUUGUAAGUGGGCCACCUUGGAAUUGGAGCCUCCAGUUCCUACUGACAUCUGACUGCAACAUCAUGAGAGACCCUGAGUUUGAACCACCCAGCUGAGCUGCUUCUGAGCUAACCCACUGAAACCGUGAAAGUACCUGAAUGAAACAACACCCAGUAGCCACUAGCACACCUAGCUCCCAGAUCUCAGUUUUUGAUGCCAUUCUUCAGUAAAAGGAAGCAAGGCUGCUUGGAGAAAUUGCUAUCAAGGACUGGCGUAGAAAAUAUACAGGAUGAAAUUGGAGCAUCUUGUAGUGCUUGAAAACAGUUGGCAUCUGUGUGAAGAUGUGAAUGGAGGAGGCAGGGUACGCAGUGAGUGCCGCAGCCACAGCUUGGGUUCUCUGCAGCCCUGGCACAGAAGGUAGGAACACCCAUGGGGGAUGCGGCCACUAUGAUGUC
This 851-nucleotide long non-coding RNA is filed under the name Pan troglodytes (chimpanzee). RNAcentral describes it as "lincRNA". Lineage: Eukaryota; Metazoa; Chordata; Mammalia; Primates; Hominidae. The record is from RNAcentral.